CCUUAUUGCAAAUGAAAAAAAAAAUCUAUCUCAACGGAAGAGACUAACUCAUGGAGCAUUUCUCGGUUGGCCUAUUGCACAUAGACUCGGAAAUAAAACAAAAAACAACAAUAAAACUAAGGCUUUUUCACAUUUAAUUAGGAGUCAACCACGAACCUAAGCAUCUUAGGAAAUGAAAGUUGUCAUGUACAGAAGCAACAUCUGCAUCUAUAUAUACACAAAAUGACUAAGGCAUGUUUGUUAGGCCUUAACAAGACAAGACAAUAUUGUAUGUUUGUUACUACAUAAGCAAAACCCUAGUUUUUCUGCAAAAAAAUUGGCUUUGUUUUUCUUUCCCAAGGUGAAACCAACAGGGUAGAGAGCCUUUCCUUGGAUAGACUGACAAAUUUGGACAUCCCCUUUUCACGACAUGAUGCUUCACCGAAUUCAUAUAAAUGAACUUUAAGAUUGUAUAAACCAAGUAGGUGGGGUGGGGUGGGGUGGCGUGGGUGGGAGGUGUUUGCAUAUGAGAAAGGUAAUGUAAAAUGUGUGGUCCAUCUACCCUCUGGCUGCAAAUUAUUCAAUACUAAUACAGCAAUAACACUUACUUCAGCCAGCUUCUUUAUUUUGAUCACAUGGAAUGUUUGUUAAAUAGAAAAUACUGUUUCAAUCUAAAAUUAAUAUGAAAAUGGGUUUCUUUUUUUUCUUAGUUGAGAGAUGUGAACAGCCCACAAUCAGAUCAAUUUCUUGCAAAAUAUAAUUUACAUUUUAAGAAGGUAAUCGAAGAAAGACAAUUAAACAAACACAUUUGUACAUACCCGUUUAAAUAAGUUUGACGGGCAUAAAAUGUAUAUCUUAUGUCGAAACAUUAAAUUUACAAGAAUUCAAAAUGUACAAGAAUUAUUAGUCCCCACCAACCAUGGUCGCCAAACGAAUCCUUCCUUUAUAAAUCUUUUGCAUUAUGCGAUGUAAAAAUCAGAAACCAAUAUAAUGCACAAAUCAAGCAAAUUAAUUCUUAUCUUUGUGUGGUGGAGAGGACAGAUAGAUAUAUAUAACUCAAUUUGUUAUACAUUAAUUCCAAGAACUUUACUGUCCGUGUCCAAAUGCCAAGAUCAAUGCAGAAGAAGGGAAAACAUAAAAAAUGGGAUCCAUUAAAUCAAGACUGAAUUUCACAGAAAAAUUUCCAGAAACCAUUCAUGAGGAAAUCAGAGAAACUAAAAUGGAAGGUUGAAGAUUACUGUAAUGUAAUUAAUAGCUGUAUACAAAAAAUUGUUUUUUUUAUAUAUUAUGAAAACAUACAAACUAAAGAAUUCAUUACAUAAUACACAAUAUCUCAAAGGUUUCACAGGAAAAUAACUGAUCAUGAAUUCAAAAACAUGGCAGGAUAGAAACCAGCAAUAUAGAGCAACAAAUGCAAGCUAAAAUUGAGAGGCGGAAGGUUACUGUAGAGUAAUCAGUACUGAUUGUGUCAAGAUCUUUCUUCAGAUCAUAAAUUCAAAGCAUAAUGCAUAAUAUCUAAGGUUUCACAAUAAAAACUAAUGGAUUCAAAACCAUUACCAGCUGCAGAUCAGAACAUAGCAAGUAAAACAGAAUCGUCUUUUUGAGAGAAAAUUUAACAGGCACGUUCGAGAAUAUACCAGUUAGUGACACCAAAUUUUGCUUGACCCUCUCCAUAUCUUCCCACAGCUUUAUUGAACCGCAAAGGCUUCAUCAUCCCCCUCCAGUAGAGGCCAUAGGGUGCUUCAUUAUAUGCAGUUCAAGAAAGCUGUGGAAAAACACGAACAGGGGCAUUAUUGAAGCCACAUAAUCAAUCAUUUGCAGCAACCCUAAGUAGGGUUUCCUCUGUUAGAGAGAGAAGGCGGAAAAAGGGGGAAGUUUACAGAGAAAGAGUGCGUGUACAAAGGAGGAUUGGGAUAGUAUAUAUACAGAAGAAUUGAAGUUUUCCAUCAAUCCCGAGAGAAUAUUGGCCUAUUGUAAAG
Molecule: long non-coding RNA, 1958 nt
Filed under: Olea europaea subsp. europaea
Lineage: Eukaryota; Viridiplantae; Streptophyta; Magnoliopsida; Lamiales; Oleaceae
Source: RNAcentral